UGCCAGCCGCCGCGGUAAUACGGAGGGGGUUAGCGUUGUUCGGAAUUACUGGGCGUAAAGCGCGCGUAGGCGGAUCAGAAAGUCGGGGGUGAAAUCCCGGGGCUCAACCCCGGAACUGCCUUCGAUACUGGCGGCCUAGAGAUCUGGAGAGGCGAGUGGAAUUCCGAGUGUAGAGGUGAAAUUCGUAGAUAUUCGGAGGAACACCAGUGGCGAAGGCGGCUCACUGGCUCGAUACUGACGCUGAGGUACGAAAGUGUGGGGAGCAAACAGGAUUAGAUA
RNAcentral lists this ribosomal RNA (279 nucleotides) under uncultured bacterium. Its description in RNAcentral is "partial 16S ribosomal RNA". It matches the Rfam family "Bacterial small subunit ribosomal RNA", at positions 506 to 784 of the family's 1533-position model. The record is from RNAcentral.